GAUGAACGCUGGCGGCGUGCCUAACACAUGCAAGUCGAGCGAAGCACUUACUUUAGUUUUCUUCGGAAUGACGAAGUUUGUGACUGAGCGGCGGACGGGUGAGUAACGCGUGGGCAACCUGCCCUGUACAGGGGGAUAACAGUUAGAAAUGACUGCUAAUACCGCAUAGGCCCACAGCUUCGCAUGAAGCGGUGGGAAAAACUCCGGUGGUACAGGAUGGGCCCGCGUCUGAUUAGCUGGUGGGUAAGGUAACGGCUUACCAAGGCGACGAUCAGUAGCCGACCUGAGAGGGUGACCGGCCACAUUGGGACUGAGACACGGCCCAAACUCCUACGGGAGGCAGCAGUGGGGAAUAUUGCACAAUGGGGGAAACCCUGAUGCAGCGACGCCGCGUGAGCGAUGAAGUAUUUCGGUUUGUAAAGCUCUAUCAGCAGGGAAGAAAGUGACGGUACCUGACUAAGAAGCCCCGGCUAACUACGUG
This 481-nucleotide ribosomal RNA is filed under the name uncultured bacterium. RNAcentral describes it as "partial 16S ribosomal RNA". It matches the Rfam family "Bacterial small subunit ribosomal RNA", at positions 28 to 507 of the family's 1533-position model. The record is from RNAcentral.